RNAcentral lists this ribosomal RNA (207 nucleotides) under uncultured bacterium. RNAcentral describes it as "partial 16S ribosomal RNA". It matches the Rfam family "Bacterial small subunit ribosomal RNA", at positions 568 to 774 of the family's 1533-position model. The record is from RNAcentral.
CGCGUAGGCGGGAUGGCAAGUCGGUCGUGAAAUCCCUCGGCUCAACUGAGGAUCGUCGAUCGAUACUGCCGUUCUUGAGGAUUUGCAGAGGAGACUGGAAUUCCCGGUGUAGCGGUGAAAUGUGUAGAGAUCGGGAGGAACACCGGUGGCGAAGGCGGGUCUCUGGGCAAUUCCUGACGCUGAGGCGCGAAAGCGUGGGAGCAAACG